Molecule: transfer RNA, 73 nt
Filed under: Actinoplanes regularis
Lineage: Bacteria; Bacillati; Actinomycetota; Actinomycetes; Micromonosporales; Micromonosporaceae
Rfam family: tRNA
About the family: Transfer RNA (tRNA) molecules are approximately 80 nucleotides in length. Their secondary structure includes four short double-helical elements and three loops (D, anti-codon, and T loops).
Source: Rfam by way of RNAcentral
GUGACUGUAGCUCAGCCGGAAGAGCGCCGCCUCGCCAUGGCGGAGGUCCCGGGUUCGAACCCCGGUAGUCACU